RNAcentral lists this ribosomal RNA (424 nucleotides) under Verrucomicrobiota bacterium. RNAcentral describes it as "Verrucomicrobia bacterium partial 16S ribosomal RNA". It matches the Rfam family "Bacterial small subunit ribosomal RNA", at positions 355 to 776 of the family's 1533-position model. The record is from RNAcentral. Lineage: Bacteria; Pseudomonadati; Verrucomicrobiota.
UGAGGAAUAUUGGUCAAUGGGCGAGAGCCUGAACCAGCCAAGUAGCGUGCAGGAUGACGGCCCUAUGGGUUGUAAACUGCUUUUAUAUGGGAAUAAAGUGAGGGACGUGUCCCUUAUUGCAUGUACCAUACGAAUAAGGACCGGCUAAUUCCGUGCCAGCAGCCGCGGUAAUACGGAAGGUCCAGGCGUUAUCCGGAUUUAUUGGGUUUAAAGGGAGCGUAGGCUGUCUAUUAAGCGUGUUGUGAAAUUUACCGGCUCAACCGGUGGCUUGCAGCGCGAACUGGUCGACUUGAGUAUGCAGGAAGUAGGCGGAAUUCAUGGUGUAGCGAUGAAAUGCUUAGAUAUCAUGACGAACUCCGAUUGCGCAGGCAGCUUACUGUAGCAUAACUGACGCUGAUGCUCGAAAGUGCGGGUAUCAAACAGG